RNAcentral lists this ribosomal RNA (430 nucleotides) under Pseudomonadota bacterium. Its description in RNAcentral is "Proteobacteria bacterium partial 16S ribosomal RNA". It matches the Rfam family "Bacterial small subunit ribosomal RNA", at positions 355 to 776 of the family's 1533-position model. Lineage: Bacteria; Pseudomonadati; Pseudomonadota. The record is from RNAcentral.
UGGGGAAUAUUGGACAAUGGGGGGAACCCUGAUCCAGCCAUGCCGCGUGUGUGAAGAAGGCCUUAUGGUUGUAAAGCACUUUAAGCGAGGAGGAGGGUACUGGUAUUAAUACUACCAGCUACUGGACGUUACUCGCAGAAUAAGCACCGGCUAACUCUGUGCCAGCAGCCGCGGUAAUACAGAGGGUGCGAGCGUUAAUCGGAUUUACUGGGCGUAAAGCGUGCGUAGGCGGCUAAUUGAGUCGGAUGUGAAAUCCCCGAGCUUAACUUGGGAAUUGCAUUCGAUACUGGUUAGCUAGAGUGUGGGAGAGGAUGGUAGAAUUCCAGGUGUAGCGGUGAAAUGCGUAGAGAUCUGGAGGAAUACAGAUGGCGAAGGCAGCCAUCUGGCCUAACACUGACGCUGAGGUACGAAAGCAUGGGGAGCAAACAGG